This 461-nucleotide unclassified non-coding RNA is filed under the name Hevea brasiliensis (rubber tree). The record is from RNAcentral. Lineage: Eukaryota; Viridiplantae; Streptophyta; Magnoliopsida; Malpighiales; Euphorbiaceae.
GUGAGACUAAGAAUGAAUGGGAUAAGAGUGUGAGUGAAUCGUUUUCUGGCACUACGUCAGAUGAUUUGGGCUGGGAUUCUGUCUCCUCUUGGUCUACUGGAUUGACCAGAGAGCAUUUUGAUGGGCAGUCUGUAGGCCACAGGACUAGUGGAGGGGGGGAUUCACCAAAAUCACCACAGUCUUCAUUAGUUUCUGGGUUGCAAGAGAUUGAAGACAGAAUAAGGGAAUUAGAGGCGGAAAACAGGAAAAGCAAGGGCUUUGUGGACAAGUGGGGUGAAAGGAUGAGGGAGAUGAGCAUCCUUUUGAAACAAGUAAAAGAGCCUGGUGCUAGAGGAUCUUAUCUCAAAGACUCAGAGAAGGCCGAGAUGUAUCGCUUGCACAAGGAGAACCCCGAGGUAUAUACCAUCGAGAAGCUCGCUAAAGAUUACAGGAUUAUGAGGCAAAGGGUUCAUGCCAUUCUU